This 349-nucleotide long non-coding RNA is filed under the name Populus trichocarpa (black cottonwood). Its description in RNAcentral is "long non-coding RNA (PTRI_LNC001544)". The record is from RNAcentral. Lineage: Eukaryota; Viridiplantae; Streptophyta; Magnoliopsida; Malpighiales; Salicaceae.
CGGGAGUUGGAGCGGGAGGUGGAGUUGUAGGUGCAGCGGGUGCAGGAGAUGGUGAUUUGGUUGGUUGAGCUGUUGGUGCGGCUCCUGGUGCCUGAGCCAAGGCUGAACCAGCUAAGAGAGCCAAAAGCAUCAAGCACACCAAGGUUUUGUAAGCCAUUGUUAUUGGAAGUUGUCAAGUAGAGGGAGCAAAGAAGACAAGAAGAGAGAGGUAGACAAUGUGGUAUUUAUACAGAGAAAGGAAGAUUAUGGUUUAAGGUUUUUAGUCGGUUCAAGGGACAAGGCAAUUUCCUGUUUGUUUCUUUCAAUUUGUGAAAUUGCAACUGAGCACCCGUGUGGUGCCUAAUUAGAG